AAUAAUAGAAAAGCAAACUAAUAGAUGUACAAAAGAAACAAACUAGCGAAGUAGAACAGAAAACACAUGUAACAUGCAAUCAAACUCGUCUAAAUGCAGCAAAUGUUGUAUAUUUACCAUUAAAUACAAUUGCAUGCUGUUAGAAUUUCGUCAUGCUAUGCUGACCGGGAAUGGAUGACUCACGUGCGUCGGUAAAUUCAUUGUACCCUAAUUUAUCCAAUCCGACUUUCCCGAAUUAAUAGAACCAAAUGCACAAAUUGAUCACCAGAAAUAUUAGCCACUAUUCUAUCAUAUACGCCAGUUCUGCAUCCAUUCCCUGACCCAUGUGUCACAAAUACUCAGACGAACACAUACACAGAUAGACAUACGACUAGCACAUAACAAUUGUACACUAGUACGAAAAACUACGAUUAUUACAAAGCGACAACUAAUAUGUUUCUACAUAUUCUACUUGAUUAAAUUAAUUUAAUUAUUAAAUUAAUUUAGUUAGUACAUGCAUGAUGACGAAUUCGAUCGAUAAAUGGACACACAAUGACUCCCACUGUGAGCCCCGUCCACGAAUACCGCCAUCAAAUUGUGGAACAAUAUUUGCAAACACAGCACACAGCAAAAGUCUGUAACGUUUGUCAUGGGAAUCAAUGUUUAUAAACGUAGGAUAAUGGUCAAAACAAAGACAUUAUAAUUAGUUGAUAGAAAAAUCAGACAUUCUGGCACCACGGCAGCACUAUCUGGACGCUAUCUUGCACCCGCAUAUCUCUUCGCACAAAGUCUACAUCACUUUUGGCGGAAAUCGUACAAGAGUAAAAUCUUUCUCACAAAGACAACCAAAACGCGAACAAGGCCAGUAAGCAAAGUCGCCAUCGUGAUAGUGACGCGCACCUGGGAAAAAACGUCGUGCGGAACUCACCAAGCAGAAGUAACCAAAAGACUGCGAAUCAGAUCGAAAAUCGUCGCAUGAUUUCUCAAGUCUGUAAACCGGAAAUCGCCGACCAACGCACGCUGUGAGUUUUGGCACGAGCACCACUCAGUUACGAAAGCCAUAUUGGAAAAUUACCAGGGUCCAUUCUAAAUACGGACAGUGGAUCGGAAAGUGACACAUCAAACGCACGUGAUCAUUUUAGCUUGAUUGGAUCCAUUAGCGCAAGCUGCAAUCAAGCAACACAUUCUCCUGGUUCGCCACGGGAGCCUUAUUCAGCUAAUAAGCCAAGCCGAGGGACCUAGAAAGAUUCAAACGGCGCCCAGCACACGCUUACGAGGAAGACGACUUUGAAGAUUAACAACGGAUCGGUACGAUCCCAUCUCGGAAGACAGCCCCGGAAAGGGGCCGUUUUCUCAGAUUUGCCUGAUCAGGAGGACGAUCUAUUAACGGAUUAGUCGGUCAUUACGGAAACGAGGACGAAGGUCAAGCGAGCGACUGGCAGCACGACAGAGAACGGCGGGAGGAGAACCUCUGUGCACCGGUAACACGUUGACGUCAUCAGGAGUCGAAGCCAAAGCUGUGGUGUGGAGCAUGAAAGCGGUGGUGAAGAGCACGGGUAGGAGGAAACCCGGGAUGGCAUGCUAAGGCGGGCGUGUUGCGGAUCCGUGAGUAGAAAUGAGAGACAAAGCCAGUUUAGAACAGCCAAGAAUGAAGGCGAGUGAUUAGUAUAGAGUAGGAGAUGUUUGAGGUAGUCAGCUGGGGACGAGUGUAAUGUAUGCAAAAUAUAUUGUAAUUUAAACACAUAAUAGUAUUUGUGGAUAUUGUUGGUUUGCGAUUUGUUCCAUGCUAGUCGGUGCUGCCUCCGCGAUCAUCUCACAUCGUAGGCAAACCUAUUACAAGUCAAUGCACGACGACCCGCCAGUCGGCUACGUCACCGCGCACAGACCAGUGGCUGAGCGUUGGUAUGCGCAGGGGCAGAGUAUGAAGAAUCGUAGAACAUAAAAAAGGCACAUAAGCCCUCUCGGUCUCCUCGAUGCACCACUAUCGAGGCGUAAUGCAAUAACCAUCUUAAAGCAGUUGUUCUUUGGCGCUGAUGCACGCAAUAUGCCUGAUGAUGUUUGCAAUACCGUCAAACCCCUCAACCUUGGGGAGGGAUUUGAAUGAAAUUUGAAUUUUUAUUCCAAAAAAAAAAAUCAAAAUUAUUUCCGGUUUACUGUAAAUAGUUCAAUCGCCAGACUCUACUACAAAAAACAUUUUGCUACGAAAACAUCCAUCGUUGUUUGCGAACACAUUAGAAAAGCCAGACUAAUAAACAACGACGAAAAUGAAAGCCCCAUGUUCUAUUUCGACAAGAAAAGCUAAUUAAUCAAAGUAGUCCAUCCACCCAUUCAACAGCUGCUCGUUCUGGCGGGCCAACAAUUGGUAGCAACCGUCCGCCUUCAGCAACUCCCCAAAUAAUACCAGCGAACGCCAGAGAGGAUAAUUCUUCUAAUUAAGAUUUUAAUAGCUAUAAAGAAAGCUACCUUUUCCAAGAAGCUUUUUCCGGCUCUGGUUCCGGGCGAUUCUCAUAAAACUUCAAUUUAUUAUCCACGCAGCAGACACGUGUACAUCUAGCUCCAGCCGACUCACGCGCAAAAUCGAAACUCACAAACCACCGUUUGUUGUGCUGUGCGCGGCGCCCACCUAGCAAUAUCAUCUCAAUUUUCAUCCAAUCACCUUUGCUGACCUUCCCCCAAUUGCCGAAAUGUGUGGCCCUCGUUUUUGAUUUGUUUACAUAACUUUGUGAUACUGUGUUUACCCACAUGACCAUCAUCUCAUCAUCAUCAUCAUCUUAUUCUUCUUUAUCUUCUACUUUAUAACCAUUUUCCCCUCUAUCAACAGUACAUAUGCAUGUGUAUUGUUGUACAUACGUACGCGGGGUUACCAAAUAAUAAUCAAAUCAAAUUGAUUGACCUAAAUAUCAACGACCACUAAUUGAUUCCGUUUUUCUUUUCCAUGUGUUUCUUUCCAUCUGCCAAUUC
This is a long non-coding RNA of Topomyia yanbarensis, 2940 nucleotides long. RefSeq lists it as uncharacterized. The record is from RefSeq and is a predicted model, not a curated record. The transcript has 4 exons. Lineage: Eukaryota; Metazoa; Arthropoda; Insecta; Diptera; Culicidae.